ACUAGCAACCAGGGCCGCCACCAGAAAUUUUGGGGCCCCUAACUGAGCUCAGGGUCUGGGCCCCUGGGGGCCCGCCUCCAAAACCGCCCACAGAGACCGCCUCCAAAUCCCGCCCACAGGAAUACACACACAGACACAAACACAUUCACUGAUACAAAAGGACACAGAUACACACACACACACUGAUACAUACUAACAGACACAUACUGAUACGCAUAUAGGCAUACAUACUGACACACACAUACUGAGACAUACACACAUAUACAGACACACAGG
This is a non-coding RNA of Pelobates cultripes (western spadefoot toad), 276 nucleotides long. The record is from the annotation of a GenBank genome assembly. Lineage: Eukaryota; Metazoa; Chordata; Amphibia; Anura; Pelobatidae.